Molecule: long non-coding RNA, 271 nt
Filed under: Mytilus galloprovincialis (Mediterranean mussel)
Lineage: Eukaryota; Metazoa; Mollusca; Bivalvia; Mytilida; Mytilidae
Source: RNAcentral
AUGCAGUUGGGAAUAUAAAAGAUUCAUUUCUGCAGAGGAUGAUCAUCAAUUCUGAUUAAAUGGUACAUAGUGACUUGACUAUACAUUAUUUAUUACAAAACAAAUCAUUUAAAAAUUGUGUGUCUUCGAAUAUGAUAAAUAUAGUUGUGAAACUGAAUAAUCAGUCCCUUGCUUUAAUGAAAAUGAAAAAUCUUGCUUCAAUAGUGCAGAAAAUGAAUAAUCGGUCCUGUUAGCUUACAAAAAUAAAUAACCGAUCACCCCCCCUCCCCCC